This 83-nucleotide microRNA precursor is filed under the name Chlorocebus sabaeus (green monkey). Its description in RNAcentral is "miRNA (ENSCSAG00000020781.1)". It matches the Rfam family "mir-1233 microRNA precursor family". The record is from RNAcentral. Lineage: Eukaryota; Metazoa; Chordata; Mammalia; Primates; Cercopithecidae.
GUGAGCAGGAGGCCAGGGCAGGGCAUGGGGAGCUGCGGGGCCAUUGGAGGGGCCCCAGCAUCUGAGCCCUGUCCUCUUGCAGG